RNAcentral lists this ribosomal RNA (478 nucleotides) under uncultured bacterium. RNAcentral's name for it is "partial 16S ribosomal RNA". It matches the Rfam family "Bacterial small subunit ribosomal RNA", at positions 28 to 507 of the family's 1533-position model. The record is from RNAcentral.
GACGAACGCUGGUGGCGUGCUUAACACAUGCAAGUCGAACGGGAUUUAGUAAACAGAAGCCUCGGUGGAAGAUUACUAAUGAGAGUGGCGAACGGGUGAGUAACGCGUGAGCAACCUGCCUAUGACAGUGGGAUAGCCUCGGGAAACCGGGAUUAAUACCGCAUAAAAUCGUAGAAACACAUGUUUUAACGGUCAAAGAUUUAUCGGUCAUAGAUGGGCUCGCGUCUGAUUAGCUAGUUGGUGAGAUAACAGCCCACCAAGGCGACGAUCAGUAGCCGGUCUGAGAGGAUGAACGGCCACAUUGGAACUGAGACACGGUCCAAACUCCUACGGGAGGCAGCAGUGGGGAAUAUUGCACAAUGGAGGAAACCCUGAUGCAGCGACGCCGCGUGAACGAAGAAGGUAUUCGUAUCGUAAAGUUCUGUCCUAUGGGAAGAUAAUGACAGUACCAUAGAAGAAAGCUCCGGCUAAAUACGUG